UAGUCUACGCCGUAAACGAUGGAUACUAGUUGUUUGGUUUUCGGACUGAGUGACUAAGCGAAAGUGAUAAGUAUCCCACCUGGGGAGUACGUUCGCAAGAAUGAAACUCAAAGGAAUUGACGGGGGCCCGCACAAGCGGUGGAGCAUGUGGCUUAAUCCGAUGAUACGCGAGGAACCUUACCAGGGCUUAAAUGUAGUCUGACAGCUUUAGAGAUAGAGUUUUCUUCGGACAGAUUACAAGGUGCUGCAUGGUUGUCGUCAGCUCGUGCCGUGAGGUGUCAGGUUAAGUCCUAUAACGAGCGCAACCCCUGUUGUUAGUUGCCAGCGAGUCAUGUCGGGAACUCUAACAAGACUGCCGGUGCAAACCGUGAGGAAGGUGGGGAUGACGUCAAAUCAUCACGGGCCCUUACGUCCUGGGGCUACACACGUGCUACAAUGGUAGGUACAGAGGGGCAGCCACUGCGUGAGCAGGAGCGAAUCCUU
RNAcentral lists this ribosomal RNA (483 nucleotides) under uncultured bacterium. RNAcentral's name for it is "bacterial SSU rRNA". It matches the Rfam family "Bacterial small subunit ribosomal RNA", at positions 791 to 1276 of the family's 1533-position model. The record is from RNAcentral.